This 450-nucleotide ribosomal RNA is filed under the name uncultured bacterium. Its description in RNAcentral is "partial 16S ribosomal RNA". It matches the Rfam family "Bacterial small subunit ribosomal RNA", at positions 354 to 796 of the family's 1533-position model. The record is from RNAcentral.
GUGGGGAAUUUUGGACAAUGGGCGAAAGCCUGAUCCAGCCAUGCCGCGUGCAGGAUGAAGGCCUUCGGGUUGUAAACUGCUUUUGUACGGAACGAAAAGACUCCUUCUAAUAAAGGGGGUCCAUGACGGUACCGUAAGAAUAAGCACCGGCUAACUACGUGCCAGCAGCCGCGGUAAUACGUAGGGUGCAAGCGUUAAUCGGAAUUACUGGGCGCAAAGCGUGCGCAGGCGGUUAUAUAAGACAGAUGUGAAAUCCCCGGGCUCAACCUGGGAACUGCAUUUGUGACUGUAUAGCUAGAGUACGGUAGAGGGGGAUGGAAUUCCGCGUGUAGCAGUGAAAUGCGUAGAUAUGCGGAGGAACACCGAUGGCGAAGGCAAUCCCCUGGACCUGUACUGACGCUCAUGCACGAAAGCGUGGGGAGCAAACAGGAUUAGAAACCCCUGUAGUCC